GCCGAGCGGUAGAGAUUCUUCGGAAUCUUGAGAGCGGCGUACGGGUGCGGAACACGUGUGCAACCUGCCUUUAUCUGGGGGAUAGCCUUUCGAAAGGAAGAUUAAUACCCCAUAAUAUAUUGACUGGCAUCAGUUGAUAUUGAAAACUCCGGUGGAUAGAGAUGGGCACGCGCAAGAUUAGAUAGUUGGUGAGGUAACGGCUCACCAAGUCUACGAUCUUUAGGGGGCCUGAGAGGGUGAUCCCCCACACUGGUACUGAGACACGGACCAGACUCCUACGGGAGGCAGCAGUGAGGAAUAUUGGACAAUGGGUGAGAGCCUGAUCCAGCCAUCCCGCGUGAAGGACGACGGCCCUAUGGGUUGUAAACUUCUUUUGUAUAGGGAUAAACCUACUCUCGUGAGAGUAGCUGAAGGUACUAUACGAAUAAGCACCGGCUAACUCCGUGCCAGCAGCCGCGGUAAUACGGAGGGUGCAAGCGUUAUCCGGAUUUAUUGGGUUUAAAGGGUCCGUAGGCGGAUCUGUAAGUCAGUGGUGAAAUCUCACAGCUUAACUGUGAAACUGCCAUUGAUACUGCAGGUCUUGAGUGUUGUUGAAGUAGCUGGAAUAAGUAGUGUAGCGGUGAAAUGCAUAGAUAUUACUUAGAACACCAAUUGCGA
This 657-nucleotide ribosomal RNA is filed under the name Chryseobacterium viscerum. Its description in RNAcentral is "bacterial SSU rRNA". It matches the Rfam family "Bacterial small subunit ribosomal RNA", at positions 61 to 718 of the family's 1533-position model. The record is from RNAcentral. Lineage: Bacteria; Pseudomonadati; Bacteroidota; Flavobacteriia; Flavobacteriales; Weeksellaceae.